GAUGAAGAAAGCAGCGAAAUGCGAUAAGUAAUGUGAAUUGCAGAAUUCAGUGAAUCAUCGAAUCUUUGAACGCACAUUGCGCCCAUUAGCAUUCUAGUGGGCAUGCCUGUUCGAGCGUCAUUUCAACCCUUAAGCCCUGUUGCUUAGCGUUGGGAGCCUACAGUACUGUAGCUCCCCAAAGUUAGUGGCGGAGUCGGUUUCACACUCUAGACGUAGUAAUUUUUUCUCGUCUGUAGUUGAGCCGGUCCCCUGCCGUAAAACACCCAAUUUAUCAAGGUUGACCUCGGAUCAGGUAGGAAUACCCGCUGAACUUAAGCAUAUCAAUAAGCGGAGGA
This 335-nucleotide unclassified non-coding RNA is filed under the name soil metagenome. RNAcentral describes it as "partial contains 5.8S ribosomal RNA, internal transcribed spacer 2, and large subunit ribosomal RNA". The stretch from base 1 to 120 matches the Rfam family "5.8S ribosomal RNA", at positions 35 to 154 of the family's 154-position model. The record is from RNAcentral.